Molecule: ribosomal RNA, 253 nt
Filed under: uncultured bacterium
Lineage: Bacteria
Description: partial 16S ribosomal RNA
Rfam family: Bacterial small subunit ribosomal RNA
Source: RNAcentral
UACGGAGGGAGCUAGCGUUGUUCGGAAUUACUGGGCGUAAAGCGCGCGUAGGCGGCUUUGUAAGUUAGAGGUGAAAGCCCGGAGCUCAACUCCGGAAUUGCCUUUAAGACUGCAUCGCUUGAAUCAUGGAGAGGUGAGUGGAAUUCCGAGUGUAGAGGUGAAAUUCGUAGAUAUUCGGAAGAACACCAGUGGCGAAGGCGACUCACUGGACAUGUAUUGACGCUGAGGUGCGAAAGCGUGGGGAGCAAACAGG